UCCGGUUGAUCCUGCCGGACCUGACUGCUAUCGGAUUGGUACUAAGCCAUGCGAGUCAUUGUAGCAAUACAAGGCGGACGGCUCAGUAACACGUAGUCAACCUAACUCGUGGACGUGGAUAACCUCGGGAAACUGAGAAUAAACCACGAUAGAUCAUAGUGCCUGGAAUGGCUUAUGGUCCAAACAGUUUACUGCCAUGGGAUGGGACUGCGGCCUAUCAGCUUGUUGGUGAGGUAAUGGCCCACCAAGGCGAUUACAGGUACGGGCUCUGAGAGGAGAAGCCCGGAGAUGGGUACUGAGACACGGACCCAGACCCUAUGGGGCGCAGCAGGCGAGAAACCUUAGCAAUGUGCGAAAGCACGACUGGGUCAGUCCGAGUGAUUCCUGAUAAAGGAGUCUUUUGCUUGUCCUAAAAGCACGGGUGAAUAAGGGGUGGGCAAGUCUGGUGUCAGCCGCCGCGGUAAUACCAGCACCUCGAGUGGUCAGGACGUUUAUUGGGCCUAAAGCAUCCGUAGCCGGCUUUGCAAGUCUUCGGUUAAAUCCACCUGCUCAACAGAUGGGCUGCUGGAGAUACUACAAAGCUAGGGAGUGGGAGAGGCAGACGGUAUUCAGUGGGUAGGGGUAAAAUCCUCUGAUCCAUUGAGGACCACCAGUGGCGAAGGCGGUCUGCCAGAACACGUUCGACGGUGAGGGAUGAAAGCUGGGGGAGCAAACCGGAUUAGAUACCCGGGUAGUCCCAGCUGUAAACGAUGCAAACUCGGUGAUGCAUUGGCUUAUGGCCAAUGCAGUGCCGCAGGGAAGCCGUUAAGUUUGCCGCCUGGGAAGUACGGACGCAAGUCUGAAACUUAAAGGAAUUGGCGGGGGAGCACCACAAGGGGUGAAGCCUGCGGUUCAAUUGGACUCAACGCCGGG
RNAcentral lists this ribosomal RNA (912 nucleotides) under uncultured archaeon. Its description in RNAcentral is "bacterial SSU rRNA". It matches the Rfam family "Archaeal small subunit ribosomal RNA", at positions 1 to 922 of the family's 1478-position model. The record is from RNAcentral.